Molecule: ribosomal RNA, 553 nt
Filed under: Aspergillus niger
Lineage: Eukaryota; Fungi; Ascomycota; Eurotiomycetes; Eurotiales; Aspergillaceae
Description: eukaryotic LSU rRNA
Rfam family: 5.8S ribosomal RNA (bases 184-337)
Source: RNAcentral
ACGACUGCGGGUCUUUGGGCCACCUCCCAUCCGUGUCUAUUGUACCCUGUUGCUUCGGCGGGCCCGCCGCUUGUCGGCCGCCGGGGGGGCGCCUCUGCCCCCCGGGCCCGUGCCCGCCGGAGACCCCAACACGAACACUGUCUGAAAGCGUGCAGUCUGAGUUGAUUGAAUGCAAUCAGUUAAAACUUUCAACAAUGGAUCUCUUGGUUCCGGCAUCGAUGAAGAACGCAGCGAAAUGCGAUAACUAAUGUGAAUUGCAGAAUUCAGUGAAUCAUCGAGUCUUUGAACGCACAUUGCGCCCCCUGGUAUUCCGGGGGGCAUGCCUGUCCGAGCGUCAUUGCUGCCCUCAAGCCCGGCUUGUGUGUUGGGUCGCCGUCCCCCUCUCCGGGGGGACGGGCCCGAAAGGCAGCGGCGGCACCGCGUCCGAUCCUCGAGCGUAUGGGGCUUUGUCACAUGCUCUGUAGGAUUGGCCGGCGCCUGCCGACGUUUUCCAACCAUUCUUUCCAGGUUGACCUCGGAUCAGGUAGGGAUACCCGCUGAACUUAAGCAUAUC